Molecule: microRNA precursor, 166 nt
Filed under: Populus trichocarpa (black cottonwood)
Lineage: Eukaryota; Viridiplantae; Streptophyta; Magnoliopsida; Malpighiales; Salicaceae
Description: miR6450b stem-loop (ptc-MIR6450b)
Rfam family: MIR6450 microRNA precursor family (bases 45-150)
Source: miRBase by way of RNAcentral
UGUUAGGUCCAGUGUCGAGACAAAUUAGCCUUGGGUCAUGCGUUAGGACCCACGUCUCAUGAUCCGGAUACUGGACCUAACAUAAUUGGGUUCAGUGUCGGAACCCAACAUAAUUGGGUCCGAACACAGGACUCAAGGCUAAUGGGUCUUGAUGCAUAACCCAACA